GUGAGUUAGUUAGCCAUAAGCCACUCAAGAUCGCAAUUGAGCAACCAACACUGAAAUAAUGGCGGAGAUGGGAAGUGGAAUUGGAAGCAAAACAGCGGCAGUAGCAGUAAUGCUGGUGGUGCUGGUGGGACUAGGAUGCCCUGAAUGGUCAAGGGCUAUGAGCUUGUGCAACAUGGACGAGAAGGGACUAAUGGCAUGCAAGCCAUCAGUGACACCACCACCGCCCGACCCGGUCGAUCCCACCUCCGAUUGUUGCGAUGCCCUCAAAGGGGCGGACUUGAAAUGCUUGUGUUCUUAUAAGAACUCCUUCACGUUGCCCUCUCUUGGGAUUGAUCCUGACCUUGCCUUGGCACUCCCAUCCAAAUGCAACCUCGCCCUUCCUCCAGAUUGUUAAAAGGUACGUCCGAGGAGUAUACAUGCUGGCUAUGGCAUUCAUUAUAUGGAUCACAUAUAGUUAAUUGGUUGAGAGCUGGGACUGCAGUUUCAUGGAGUAGUACUGUUUUAAUUAGCAUCGUCGUUGUAUGUAUAUGGUUUGUAAUAGCAACCUGAAUCAGCAUGGAAGUCUGAAGAUCCCUACUGUGGUGUUUGUUGUGUGGUGUAAGAAUUAAUUCCUCUCUUUUAAGUCUUUGACCACGCUUAUUCUGAAA
This is a long non-coding RNA of Coffea arabica (coffee), 647 nucleotides long. RefSeq lists it as uncharacterized. Lineage: Eukaryota; Viridiplantae; Streptophyta; Magnoliopsida; Gentianales; Rubiaceae. The record is from RefSeq and is a predicted model, not a curated record.